RNAcentral lists this long non-coding RNA (1993 nucleotides) under Toxoplasma gondii VEG. Lineage: Eukaryota; Apicomplexa; Conoidasida; Eucoccidiorida; Sarcocystidae. The record is from RNAcentral.
CUUUUGACUCGGUUUUACCAGAACAGCGAUGCCCCCUUCUCCGCAUUUUCAGUUAAAAAGGCACGCCGAAAGUGAAGGAGAAAGGCGGUCACUUGCGCCCUCGACUUUUCCCUUGCUUGCUGUGAGUCUCGGCUGCUCUCGGGCGAGUCUUUGCUCCUGUUGUCUUCCGCUGCUGGUCGCCCGUCUGUCUUUGUCGUUCUUGUGUCCUUUGGCGUCCGAGAUUUGCCUUAGCUUGCCUUAGCCCAACUACCACGCAACACAAAAGCAAAGGAAACCUUUUUCGCGUGCCUCCUGCCAGCGCAUGUUUGUCUCGCCCACACCGCUCUCGGGUCAAGGAGUGUCCUCACCCUUGCUUGCCCUACACUUGCAUAUACUUGUACGAAGAUACAUUGAAAUUUGUGCACGUACGUACAGCUGUAACGAAAUAAAUGUCGCUAUAUGCAUUUUCGCAAUAAAAGGUCGCAGCCAGAUCGCUGCUGUCAGUAGACGUGUGGAUGAUUUUUCCUUUUGAGGAGGCAGUUUCACCUGCCCAGUGUUUGUCAAAAAAUCCCGUUUGUUUUGCUUCGAAAGCAAGGAUCACGCAUCUGUGAUCAUGUUUCAGUCUUCAUUCGGAGGCACCCAGCAAGCAGUGCACACUGUCGAAGAACAGCCGUGCCACUUUCGCGUUUUAGGAAUGGAUUCGAGUCGCCUUCGAUGCGCAGGAUAUUCGCCGUAACGAACGAUUGAUUUCGGUCCGGCUUUGGUUCAAGUUUCGGAGUAACAAGGAGGCACUGCAGCGCAUGCGUCGAGAGACGCGAUUCUCUAGAGAAGGCCUCGGACUGGUGCCUGCAGAGCUUCACAUGUUAGGCGACAGAGAAAACGAUUUUAGAGGUAGAAUUACCGUCGCCUGACAUCCACCAUGUCUGCCAAUUGCUAGUUUGAAAUGCGUGUGCACUCGUACGACUCCAAGCCUAAAUAUUUAGGAUGUCGUUUCUCUUGCCAGUUCUCAACCAGAACGGGGUAAUUUACACGUUUGGUACCUUCCGUAGACGCGGUAGCCGCUUCUUAGGUUCCCUCCCAGGAACUGGACCCCCUAAGUCCCCCUUAAACCGUGCCGGCUCCAUUGGCAGCAGCGUAGCGAAGAGGUUACGCAGCAUGAUUCGAUCUCUUCACUACGCACACGUUGAUAAAGCUGUGCACGCGAUCGCACGCUCUUCAAGUGUAAGACUGCCUGCUUUCCCCUUCGAAGAUUUUAACCGUAUUUCCCUUCGUCGUGAGCCUUCAUGUUGGACGGCGGCGUCUUGAUUGGCUCGGUGCUGGGCCUGUGCUGCGGCGUCGUCCUGCUCGUUCUGAUUUUGUUCACGUGCGUGGGGCGGAUGGUCUGCGGCGUGUGUUUCUGUUGCCUGUGCUGGCCUUGCAGAUGCUUGUGUGGAAACAAAGAGGACGCGUGUGUGUGUGAACCAAUCGAUCCGAUUGCAUGCUGCUGUCGAGGCAAACAGACCUCAGAGGCUGGAAGCAGCAUCAUGGACGAACCGGGGGUGGAUCUUGAGCAGAUGAUUCAAUCCUGAAUCUGCCUGCGGUUAUCAUCGAUGCAGCAGUACAGUUAUCGCCUCUUCUAAAAGCACAAAUAUCCGUGAAUCUUCUCUAUAUGCAAGUGCUGGUAUUCUAGACCCAAUGCUUCAAUCAUUCUUCGGGACGGAGCCAUGUAGGACACGCCCGUGGCUCUGAAUGCCUCUGUUUCUGCAUUAAAAGCGCACGAGUUGGACAGAGGGGACACGGCACCGGCGCGCUGCAGCCGGUGUCAUUCUUCUGUGUUGUUUUUCGGUUCCUAUGUAGGCGCAUGCAUUCGAGAAAGUGGGGAAAUUCGAAAGUGUCAGGUCGCCACCGGGUGGUGAAGUAGGCGUACAUUGUGCAGUGCUGCCGCCACGCCUUCUGUCGGCGUAGGAAACUCGCUUUGUCUCGUCUGUCCGCUGUUGAGACGCCAACCUACGUUCUUUCAACACCCCUGCUCGAC